UAGUCUUUGUCGUGUAGUGGUGUCGUCGUCGUCGUUGUGCGCUCGUCCAGCGUUCAAGGAACCAAUUACCAAGGAACACACAGGAGAAACUGCUCACAUUACAUACAUAUAGACACACACGUACACACAAACAGCAUAGUGAAGGCAACAUACAAGCACACGCUCCAUGGUAUUGUAUAUGUAAAAUGAGAGACACACACGCAAACACUUGAUAUACUGAUGGACAUUGUGAAAAAAGUUCAGAAAAUGCUGAAAAAGUGUAUAAUAUUGAUGGAAAAAUAAUAAAAAUAUGUGGAAAAGUAAAAUAAGUAAUAAAAUAAUGAAAAUAUAUUGGUUUUUAAGUAAAAUAUUUCAAAAAAUUCCUAACUAGGGAUGGAAUUCUUAGCGAAAACUGUGACGUAGUGCUACCCCUGCCCCUAUAAAACAGAAGAAAGUUUCUAGAAAACGACCUAGCCAAGUAGAUAUGGGAGAAAAAAAUAAUUUUGCUAAAAUAAAAGCAGGGCAUUUACAUAUACAUAUAUUUUCUAUACACAAUGUGAAAACGCUCCGCACACCUGAAGGAAAUAUUUGCCCUUAGGUUUGUUAGCGGGCUCUAGGGAAAGAUGACGAUCGCCUCUAACGAAUAUAUGUACGUGUCCGUGAAAUUUUUUUCUCGCGUUUUUGGAACAAUGGGGCAUAUGGGUGCAGUAGUUAGGAAAUAUCCAAAGGCGAAGAAGUGCGAUAGAAAAAUAUGUGUUUAAAAUAUAAAAUUUGAGGUCGUUGCGGUGUUGAUUUCAUUCCUUCGCAAAAUCCAUAGAAUGCAAGAAACCAAGAUGGCAAUACGCCAUGCGAUUUGAAUAAAAAAAGACUAAUGGAAUAUUCAGAUGUCGAUGGUUCUCUGUAAUAACCACACAACUCAUAACUGAAAACCCCCCUACUAUUGAACAAUGGCACAUGUCCCAAAACGAGUGCGAUAAGACCACAAAUUGCCCAUGAGAAAAUGGAUGUGUUGAUGGGUUGGUGUGUCUGACGAAAAUAGAUUAAGGUAAUUAAUCAAAAGGACACCAGUAAAAGAGAGUGGUCGGGAGCAGAAAGUGAGCAAGAAAAAUAAGGUAAACCAGCACGAAGUAUUCGAUAAACAUUGUAUGUAAAGAGGAAGUAAUAAAGAAGAUAGUAAAGAAGACGCUGGCAGGACAUGUGAAUAGAGAACUAUAAGAAAAAUAUUAAAAUUACAUACGUAUGUAUGUAUAAUAGCUUGUACAGGAACAAAAGACAAAAUAGUUGGAAUCUAAAGAACACAAGAGAAACGAACAAAGGGCAUAGCAAAAAUGAAAAAUUCGCUAGCGAAAGCAGCGGCAAAGCAACGAAAUUUAAUGAUUCCAUAAAGCGGAGGAGCGCCUGAUUUGCUUCAAUCGUCGUCAUCAUUGUCGUUUCUUAGUUAAAAGCUGCGACUUCACGCUGAUACUGCUGUCACCCGAACAACGAAAAAUUCCCAGUAAAAAACCUAAUUCACCACAGCUGGUAGCUGGUCUCUAAAACGUGCCAAUACCAUUAACUAUCAUCGACAAGCGCAACGUAUACUGGUAAUAAGCCAUCGCUCCCAACCGCCUCCAUCUCUCUUUCUAUGCCUUAUCUUCGUCCACCCUCCACAUGUCUCGUAACUUCAAACCAAGCGGUAGAGUCGCAACUCAAUUGGAAGUAACUUCAACGCUGCAGUAUAAAACGCACUUAGUAGCGAGCUGCAGCUUCAAUCACAACGCACCCAUUUGCAUUAACGCAGCGCGAAAUCUCUUGGCCCCAACAAACUUGCGUUCGGCUAAUCAUUAGAAGUACAGUACGUUUCGCUUGAUUGCGUCCGAUGCACACCAUUCAGUGCACUCAAGAAGAAAAUGCAGCUGAGCGAAAUGUCAUGAAAUUAGGAAACAUUUAUUGAAACAAAAGUCUAUUAAACAGAAAAUUGCAGUUUAAAGCAGAUACAGUUAUUUAUGAAAUCAAUGUUUGAAAAAAGCCUAUGAAGCAAAUAUCAAAUAACUACAGCUUAUAUUAACAUUGCGCAAGUGGCCAUAUGGAGCGAAUUGUGUGAAAAACUCAAGCCCACCGUCUACAGCCUGAGAGUGUUUGUUUGAUCCGGUAACUGCAUCAUAGGCCAGAUAUUCAACAUACGCCAAAUCUUGAUCGAUUUUAAGGCCGCCUUCUGUAGCACGAAAGGGAACUGCCUAUACGUCGCGAUGACAGAAAUUGGAAUCUCGAUGAAACUAACACGGCUGUGCAAAAUUACGAUAUUUCAGACAGCGCUCCUACCUUCUGUUGGUGAAGUUAAUUAAAGCUGCUGAACUGAACCGCUGUGGAACAAUUUAUUAUAAGAGCGUAAAUAUAAUUACUGGCGUAAGUCUAUGAUAAAACUAAUUAUCUCCUGUCAUCAGGCAAAUUGUCAGCGGUUUAGCUCCUCGACCCGCAUGCUACCUUAAACUAUUAUAAUUUUGGAAAAGGACUUCGUUUAUUUGGGAAUUAUAAUUAACAUUAAUCAAAAAUGCCAGCCUUGUAAUUAAGACAUGGACAAUGACAACACCCAUUGAGGCAGAACUUGGAGUGUUCGAGACAAAGAUUCUGCGGAAUUUCCGCGUGGCGGUAAAGAAAGAAGAAGACGUCCCAUUAUAUGGAAAGACCAAGUGGAGAAGGCCUUGGCUUCACUUGAGGUUUUUAAUUGGUUUCAGUGGGUACAGAAGAGGAGCGAUUUAUUGGAUUAGGUCAAAAUCGCUUCAAAAAAAGGAGGUUAUCAAUUCGUCGGAAUAUAUUUUUUUUUGAUACGUUAUCAAAUAAAUCAGACCCACGGGAACCAAUUUCGAUUCUUCUUUUAUCGAAAAGGUGUUACCUCAGGGAUGGUCCCAGACUAAUUUGGUUUAGUUCCGAUCAAUGUAUUAUGAAGAAGCUAACGAUACUCCUAAUUUUUUUUUAUAUGUGUAUUGAAGUGGGUUUUUUGUUUAAAAAUUACUUGUUUUACGAAGAAAUAAUUUUGCCGAUAAACUUAUGAGCUGUAAUUUUUAUGAAAAACUAAAAUAUUACAAUUAUGUUUGAUUAUUUUAUUGUUAUUACUGUAACAGUUGUCAAGGACUUUUAUUUUAAAAGUCAUUUACGAAUGUCGUUCCGGGAUUAAAAAUAUCCAAUCAAAAGUUGAAAAGCUAGUUCCACCAGUUGAAGUCCAGAAGUAGUUUGAGAUCCAAAUAUAUGUAUAAAAAGCCACUUUUGAAUAAAAAAGCUGUGGUAACCGUUACAAUUAAUUUUUAUGACAACAAAUGGAGCCUUCGCGAUUCCCACCUAAAUGUAAACUUUUAAUGUCACACAUCAUUUCAGAUUUUGAUGUGAACAAGUAAACCAAAAUGUUCUUCGAUUGCUUUACCCAAUGGAUCCCAUCUUCUGAUGGCAACAUUUGCUAUUUCUAUGAGGUUGCUCACACAUACCUGGUUAUCAGCUUAUCUGGUUAAAAAUUAUUCUUGUGCAGUAUAUUUAUACGUUGUAAACCGAAUAAAAAUAUAACCACAUAACCUGAUAACCAGAAAAGUGUGAACAACCCCUUUAUUUAAUCCAGGUUAUAAUUUAUUAAAAUCAACAAUAUCGUUAAAGCUACAAAAUACUUCAUAUAUACAUGUACAUAUAUGCAUGUGAAAUUUCUUUUGUUAAAUACUAAAACAAAUGCAACUUAUUUACUAUUUGAAAUGAAAAAGUGUUCCGAUUUUAAAAAUGAGGCUGCCACUCGUUCGACGAACAAAAAAAUAAAUCGCAAGAUGCAAAAGAUAAGCAAAUAAAGAGAAGUGAACAUAGUGUUUGUGAUGAGUGAAAUAAAGGAUCCUUAUAUACUCGUACACAUAUACAAUAUUUAAUAAACAAACUAUUUAACACGAUAAUCCAGAAUAAAUAAAUAUGUGUGUGUUAGUGUAAGAUCAUGUUCUCAAGAAUAGCUACCAGUUUUAUAAAAUUCCUACUCUAAAUCUCUCUCAAAGAGAGGAAAACUCGGAAAAAAAAUACUGUGCGCGCCUAAAAACUGAUGCGGCAAAAGGAUUUGAAAAAUAUCAACAAAAGCGUGCUUGCGAAAAUAAGUUUACUUGUAAAUAUGUAUGUAAUACUAAUACAUUUUGUGAAUGCAUUGUGAAAAAUAUGCAUAGAUCUGUUAACAAAAAUAGAAAAUGGAUAACAAUACAUUCACCUAAGCAUACACAGCAUUCGAGUAUUUUGUAAAUAAUUGCAUUAAAUAAACAAAAAUAUUAAUAAAAAUAUUUACUAAUCAAAAAAUACUGUUACUAUUAAUUAUAUACCAUACAUAUGUUAGUGUACAUGUAUGGAACGACUAGGUUUAUGCUAUAAAGUCUCAACUAACAACGAAUGUUUAAACAACGCCGUCUUUAUGGAUAUAUGCAAUACAUCUUAUAGUGCAGGGCUCUAAAACCAAAGAAAAAACAAAAAGGCAGAUAUAAGCAACAUAAAACCCGUGUCUCCACCACGAACCUAAAAUCCUCAAAGUUGUCGCAAUGACAGACAUACGCAUUGAUGAUUGAACGCAAGGAUGAACCAAUAUCUGUAUAUCUACGUAUGUAUGUAGAUGAGGGUAUUAAGAACAACAAUUGUAAAACGGUAGAAAUGGUAACUGAAUGAAAACAAAAGCAAUUGCAAGAAAUGAAGAGACGUAAUAACAGGUAUCGGAAAAUGCUGUAAAAGAGCUAAAGACGGGGACACAAUACCGAAAACAAGAUUGAAUUUGCCAAUACAAGCAAGCGUACAUACACACACAAAACAGGUAAAACUAUACUGACCGAAAUAAGCCAGAUGAGUUAAAAUGCUACAAGGAUACAAUAAAAAUUGCAAAGGACUGACCGACUGGAGUUUGCCCAAUGGAAUGGGGCAGCGGCAACAUAUUUGCAGACGAUGUUGUGGAAUUUCGGUAAAUUAAUUACCAAAGGUCAUAACUCAACGAAUUAUAAAAAAAAAAAAACUAUAGAAAAGCAACAACAACCGAAGGCGUGAAAAAGCAGCAGCAUAACCCUUUAUAGUUCUGACAAGAAAAAAUAGCGAACCUAGCAAAAAAGCAUCCCAAAUAUUUACACAAAAAAAAUAGAAAAAAUAUACAAAAAAUAAAAAAACGAUCUUGCCUUGGACUGUGAUGACCACGAAAUGAUGGAUGACACAAAAAAAAAGAAAAAACUGCACUACAUGAAAAACAAUAAAAGCAACACUAACAGCAAGCGAGCUAUAGUAACGUAAAGAACAGAUCGAUAGACAAAAGAGAAUCAGCAAUAAAGGAACUACAUAAACUCCUUGUAAACAAACUGAGACGGGCUUGAAGUUGAAACUUGGUCACGAAAACAAGCUAAGAAUUAGGGUAGCAAAAGGAGAGGGCACAGCGUAGCAGCAAAACCUAUGCGAAAACUUUAAAAGCUUUAAAAUCUUAGAAAUUACUUAAAAUAAAAUAUUAUAAUUAUUAUUAAAAUAACUUUAACUAAUCCACGUAAUUAAUCAUAAAUCUGAUAUAUGAACUAAAUUUCGAUAAUUAUACACAAAACAUAAAUGAAAAAAAUAAGAUCUUACAAGGAAAGUAAACCAAAAAUUUACUAGGAUAUCAAGAAUUAUAUCUGCACUCCCAUCUAAAAAAGUAACUACAACUUGCAACGCCCAAAAAAAAAUUUAACCAAAAAUAAAUUAGAUAACAGAUAAUUCAAAAAAUAAAAAAUAAAUAAAUUUAAAGCUGAAGUUAAACUAAGGUAGUGAACUUCAUUAUUCACAGCAAAAAAACCAUUCUACAAAAACAAACAACAAGGGCUUCACCCCAGCCCACGAAAGUAGACACAAAGAGUUAAAAUCGAAUAGGGGGAACAGAGGAAAUUGUAAACUGAAUCAACGAAAUCAUUUCUAUAUGAAUUUUUUCACAUUUCGAAGCCUUAGUAAACUUUAAGCUUUAAGCUAUUUUAGAAACUCUACUAAAUUAAACUUGCAAUCGCUUAUAGCAGACCAAGUUGAGUAUUUGGAUCUUGAGCUUCGCGUCGAACCACAUCAAAAACCUUCAACGCCAUUUUCCUGAGGCGUGUUUGGAAAAAUGGAUGACAUGCCAGAUUUGUCUCAUUUAACGCCCCAUGAGCGUUUGCAAAUCGAAAACGUUCUAAUGCGCCAAAAGCAGGAGGAGGAGGCUCACAAUGAAAUUAUGCGACGCAAGCAAGACGAAGUCGUCUCGCUGGAGAUGCAAAUACGUCAGCGCUCAGAGGAGCAGAAGAAAUCAGGCAUCGAGUUGGGUGCAAUAUGCCACAUUUGCCUUCAGACGAAAUUCGCCGAUGGAAUCGGACAUAUUUGCCACUACUGCAACAUUGUGUGCUGUGCGCGUUGUGGCGGAAAAGUGACACUUCGCAGCAACAAGGUAAUUUGGGUUUGUAUACUUUGCCGCAAAAAGCAGGAACUACUUUCUAAGACUGGACAAUGGAUGAACAAGGGUCAACAACAAGAUAGCUUCCUGCGACGCAUUGAGCCUGAUGGCAGUAGUGACAUUUCGCAACAGGCCAUUGUCGACCCGCAUGACACGCUCGACAAGCGCCCGAAAUUAGAACGAACGCGCAGUGCCGCUGAAAAAGAGAACCUGCCAAUGCAACGGACCGGCAGCGUGCUCCGCCGCCAAUACUCACAACAGGAAGUGCCUACAAAUCGGCGCAUGUCGGCUUCCGAUAGUGGUGUGGACGUCAGCCCAGGACAGCAACGUCAACGGCCCGUGAAUCAGCAGCAGCAGAUGCAACAGCACUACGGAACACAAGGCGGCCAACAAUUUAGUGCAGGUCAGCGUCCAUACCCGGAAGAUGAUCCGCGUUAUUAUCAGGGUGAGCUGGAUGGUUUGAUGCGACAACAUCCGCAUCUUGCGCAUCCUAGCCAGCUGCAGAAGCAACAGCAGCAACAACAACAAAGCUAUCUGCAACAACCACAACAACAACCACUUGGACAGCAAGCGCACUAUCAGCAUCAACAACAAAAGCAACAGCCGCAACAACAACAGCAACCACAACACCAUGGGCCACAAUCACGCGCGUUGCCACCACAUCAGCAACAUAUGCAACAGCAGCAACACCCACAACAACAUCAGCCGCAGCCGCUGCGUGCCCAAACGCAGCCACACCAGCAACUGCCGACGCCAACAUCCGCCAGUAUGGCGCAGCAACAACAUCCACAUCAGCAGCACCAGCAGCAUGCAGCUCAGCAGCCACAACCACAUCAACAACAACAAAGGCUUCCCCAUCAACACUCCUACAAUCCACAAACUGCACAGUUACCCGCACCCCCAAUGGGAGGGGGGUCUUAUCAGAAGCCAGCACCAUUGUCGCGAAAUCUAACCAUCAGUGGAGGCCAUGCCAUGGAUACUGCCACUUAUCCGCAGCCACAACAGCGGCGGCAACCGAUGGUCGGCGGUCAGUACGGUCCGCCGCAGCAACGUUCCUUUAGCAGCUCCGAAGAAGAGAUCCAAGCGCAUAUGCUGGCGCCCCAGUCAGCCGAAUACGAUUACGACGGCGGCUUGCGUGAACCCUGGAAACAGCAACGCAGCCUCAACGAGCGUGAUCUCUUAAGUGUGACGAAUUCAUAUGGCGCCAACGACUAUCGCCUGACCAAUACGAACCGCCUCUACUCCUCUGCGGAUCGUGAUCGCUACGACCUGCAUCGCGAACGCCUAGAACGAUAUCCGCUCACGCGAACAGCUCGAUUGGAUGUACAGCAACACAACACCUACAACAGGACAAAUCACGAUCGACAAUCAACGGUCACUGGAAGUGGAUUGUAUACGGCGCGUCGGGCGCCUUCAUUAGUCACGGCUACGGCAACCUCUGGGGGCGGUGGUAGCAGCAACAGCAGUGCUGGUAGCUACCACCACCAAAAAGCACAACAGCACCAUAUGAAUCCACAAAUUGUGAUUGACGAUAAACCAUUGCCGGCAAAUGCUUAUGAACGCUAUAGCAGUGGGACUGGUACGCGCAGUGAAGAUAGUAGUGUUAGGCGAACAAAUACCCCUGAGACUGGUAGCCUCGGACGAGAUCGCCGUUUAGUCACGGAUCUCUAUUGGGAUGAAAAUCUCACAGCGGGUAAUGCAGCGCAAGACUCGAGACGCUACACAGAGCGCAGAAUAAAGAAAACAGUACGAUUUGAUGGGCACGAUGAUCCGUUGGUAACAACAGCAAGUGUCGUAAGCGGCUCACUGCCACCAGUUACACAAAUUCUGCCUUCAACGGCUAUGGAAGUGGGAGCUGCCACUAUACUGACCAGUACCAAAUUAGGCGCAAACGCAAACACUGCCAAUACGAUAGGCAUUUCGGAUGCGUCCGCUGCCGAUUGGACACAUUGGGACGCUGAACGACAGGGUAGCCAGGAUUCGGCAACCAAAGACUCUGGCAUCGAUACCAGCAGCACGUUCACGAGCAGCGAAGACUCAAAUCGUGGUGAUGGGCCAAAGCAACCGGUGAAUUGGCAAAUAUCCGCGGAUAACACUCACAUGGUUGGUCACAUGAUAUUAAAAAAGUAUUACGACGGUGAGGAUAUUCUCGGCUUAAAAAUCAUAGGCGGUCAGCAGCUUGCGACAUCUUCACCGGCAACAACGGACUCCAGCGGGAAUAGUGAGAUCAGCGGUUGCGGUGCGAUCGUGGAAAAAGUAAAGCGCGGUUCAGUAGCCGAUGUCGAAGGGCAUAUACGAGCAGGCGACGAAAUCAUUGAAUGGAACGGUCGAGCGCUACGGAAUAAGUGCGCGGACGAAGUUUACCAGAUAAUCGACGAAAGCCGCUUGGAUGCACAGGUGGAAUUAGUUGUUUCACGUCCCUUGACCGUCAAAGUAUCAGGAAGCAACGCAGCACGCAGAGCUGCUGGCCAUCAACAGCCGCACACCGCCUUGAACAGCCAAAAUCUCACAAGCACCAUUGCUAACAGUGCUGUGGUCAGCAGCGGCGGACGUUAUUAUUCACGAAAAGCACCUGCAACCGAUGCCAUCGACAUCCACUGCGACAAGCCGAAUGUUUUAAUAACAUCGCCCGGUUCGCCCGAUUUCCACGCCACCACCGGGGGCGCGCGCACCUUUCGGCAAACGAAUGUGCAGCAACGUGGCUACAGCGGCGGCGCCGGAACGUAUCAGCAGCACUCAACGCAGCAGCAUAAACCACAACACCAACGGCUGGUACCGAACGUCGCGAACACAGCCAGUGCAGCAACAGCCGGUUCACAAGCCACAACGACGGCGAGCCACCACCAUCAUUGUCACCAGCCACCACCGCCACCGCACACGCACCCACAUGCCGCUGCACACCACUUGCCCACGGUGGGUGUGGCGCAUACUCUGCCCAUGGCCGUCGAUGGCCGGCUUCAGAUGAAACUCGGUUACGAUCAGAAUACCCUGCAGCUGAUAGUGACGCUCGUCUGCGCAACGGGUCUGACGUUGCGACAAAGUGGCGCCGCACGAAAUCCUUAUGCAAAAGUGUUCCUUCUACCCGAUCGGGGUACAAAAUCAAAAAGACGUACCAAAACUUUAGCGAAUACUUGCGAACCGCGCUGGGGCCAAACUUUCGUUUACUCGGGCCUAAGACGAUCCGAUCUCACCGGCCGUUUACUCGAAGUAACCCUGUGGGAUUACGUGCGCUACGGUGCCAAUGACUUCAUCGGCGAAGUGGUCAUUGAUUUGGCUCAUCAUGUGCUCGACGAUGAGGCGGAAUGGUAUCAUCUUCAACCGCAUCAGGACACUUCGUAUCUCUUGCAUCAGGACGACCACAAUGAAGCGGACAUUAUGAUUUUGACACCGACAGAUCAUUUAUCACCUCCCAGCACAACGUCACGUCUAAGCGAUUCCGAUACGACGUCUGAAUGUGACAUCGAUGGACUGACGCCGGGACGUGAUGGCGCAAGCAUAUCCUCACUGGGCAGCUCAUCAAGUCCACCACCAGAGAUUGACUUGAAUGAGCGUCGUUCGAGACGCGAUAUGUCACCUCAAGGUCGCAAGCGGGUUGCUGGUAUGGUAGCGCGUGAUUAUCGUACGGUAUCCGGCAUUGGACAAAGUUACCAUAAUCAGCAGGUGAGCACAGGUUACUUGCGUCGCAAUGGCGCUAUUACUGGACCCGGUAGUAUGAGCCUCAGCCAGCGGAGUCACUCUGCCGCACCAACUGACAGCUACCACGGCGUGACCGGCACCGGUCACAGUUACUACCGCAGCAGCAGCCCACGGCGCGGCUCUCUCUCGCCGCCUGACGACCGUUACAUAGACUAUCCAGUUCUUCCAAUAGAUGCAUCUGGCUCAGCGUACGGCCACCAAUUUCCAGGUGGAGCAGGCACGUUAACAGCCACCGCUGGAGGUGCUGCCUUGGGCGGAUUAGGGGGUGGGGCUGCGGCAACAAUCGGCCCGGGUGCAGGGCAACAGACCCGUUUUCAGUCGCGGUCCGCAACAGCCACUCCGACGGGAUCACCGAAGAAGCGACAAUUACCACAGGUGCCACAAACUUCUCGCAGCGCAAUGCUACGCGAUCGCCUGGGUCAGGAAUUCGAUGAGCGCCCGGGUGGCGGACGUUUCGGCCGCCAUCGUACACGCCAGAUGCAUCAUCAAGCAACGUACCGCAGUACCGGCAUGGGGGGAUGGGAACGCCACUACACAGGCCUUUCCGAUAGCGAUCUGCAAUCGAUGGAAACGCGCGUGCGGCCACGUCACUCUCUCUCACCCGACAAGGACUUCAUGGGCGAAUUCGGAGAUUCUGAUAUGGAGUCGGUGGUUAGCGUGACGUCGAGCGCCUUUUCCACUCAAUCGGAACGGCCGCGCGGCUCACGCGGGCUGAGUGAAUAUGACAAAGAUAAAAAUGGUGGUGGUGAGGAUAAGAAGGACGCCAAUUUCAGCCAGAGUGUAGACGAGAAAGUUGACGGCAGCUUAUCCGAUACGGCAACGGAUCGCAAAAAAGGCGGCGUGGACCAAGAACGUUCACCCAAAGGCGGCAGCGGUAUGGGUAAAAAAUCGAACUCCACUUCGCAAUUAUCGGCCACAGACCAAUAUACGGCUCAAUAUACAACAGCCGGAGCUUCCAAUUCAUCUCAUCAUUACCAUCUUCGACAAUCGCGCGGUUCGGCGGGUAGCAUUCAGCGCUCCGUGGAGGUGCCACCAACGUCAUCGGUCACACAAUAUCGCACCGGCAGCGUUCACUCCAUCUCCAGCUCAGAGGGUUCAUCAUUUUCACCAUCUCUACGUGGUAACGACGGCCAGUUGUCGGAGUUCAUAGAUGGUCUGGGUCCCGGACAGUUGGUCGGACGACAAGUUCUGGGCGCGCCAUCGCUGGGUGAUAUACAGCUAUCAAUGUGCCAUCAAAAGGGUUUCUUAGAAGUAGAAGUUAUACGUGCUAGAGGCUUACAGCAAAAGCCGACGUCAAAAAUGCUCCCCGCUCCUUAUGUUAAAGUGUAUUUGGUUUCUGGUAAACGUUGCAUUGACAAGAUGAAAACGUCAACGGCAAGACGCACAUUGGAUCCGCUCUACCAGCAGCAGUUGGUAUUUAAACAGCCAUACCAAGGAUGCAUCCUACAGGUGACUGUUUGGGGUGAUUAUGGACGCAUCGAGAAGAAAGUUUUUAUGGGUGUGGCUCAAAUAAUGCUCGAUGAUUUAAAUUUAUCGAAUAUCGUUAUCGGCUGGUACAAACUCUUUGGAACAACAUCACUGUACUCGUUCUCCACGCUCGAGCAAGAAACAGAAAAUGAUAAUUAAAAAACUGCUACCACUUACUCAAAAACCACACGUAUGGGAUACUGUACAAACAUUACAUAAAACCUACGCAAAUACAUAACACUACAAGCAGUCAAAUACAACUUUCUUAUUACAUACAUACUAUGUAUAUAAAUAAACGCUAUAAUUACAUAAUACAAAAAAAUUAAAAAAUUAUAAAAAAUGUAAUCUGAUACAAUUAAUUAAAAAAAAAAAAAAAAUAUCGUAAAGCUCACACUCGUUUAGACCAUUUCACCGACUUAGUCGUUUGGCAUUGAAUCGCUCAACGUAGUUUAUGGUAACCCCUGCAUAGAGCUGCUUCCACGGCAGCGCCGCGAUCCUAAGUCGCUUGGUUAGCUGGGAAAUGAAAAAACGUACGGCAGAAUGAUGAGAGAGAGGGUGGAGACUCACAUACCGAACGAACGAUGACACAGAGUCCUUAGCAAGAUUGCGGGUCUUCUACAGGAUCCCUAGUUAUUAUCACGUUUCGCAGAUGGGCACCUAUCAGCGCUCACAUAGCUUUGGCGUCGAUCAAGAGCAGCUCAACGGGAACCUUUUGAAUUCAAACGAAGUAGAAAGCACACAAACAAGAAAACAAAGCAAAAAUGCAUAUAAAUAUGUUUAGAAUAUGUUUAAGGUAUAUUUUUUAAGCUACAUAUGAGAAAAUGACUCUGACUAUGAAGAGAAAGAUGAAGAUUAAGACGAAGAUGAAGACGAUAGCGAUGAUCUGGUGAUUUAUGUAUAUCAUAGUGAUCAUAGAUGUAAUAUUGACAAUGACGAUGUCGAUGUUAGUGAUGAUGGUGGUGGUGAUGACAGAUAAAGAUGCAUUUAAUACUACAAAAUUGCAAAAUGAUACAUACACACAUAUAUAGAGCAAAGUAAAUGAGUAACAAAAAGGAUUUAUUAUGAACAUAUUUAAAAACAAAGAAGGUGUGAUUUUGACGGCAUUAUUUAUUACGUAAUAUUCUUGUAAUUAUAAGUGAAUGAAUAUGUAAAACUAUCGUUAGAAAACAUGCAAAUGAAAAUAUAUGUAUACAUACAUACAUACAUAAAAUAAAAAUAAUAAAAGACAACCUUAUCUUCAUUGGGAGUAUUAAAAAAAAAAAACAAAUGAACGAAUCUGAAUUUUAUGAUAAAUAAUUAUCAAAAACUCGGUCGACACUCAGUAAGAAAAAUAUUCACACAUUUCUAUUAUAAAAUUUAUGCUGUUUAAUACCGGUGUUCAAAUUCGAGCAGACAUGAAUUAUGUAAAUAUUAUUAAAGCGACCAUGAUUAUGAUCUAACACAUACAUACACACAUUCGUUCAUAAAUAAAAGCAAAAUAUAUUAUUAUUACUGAAGCCAAAAUCUACGAAGACAAACGAGCUAAUGUAAUAAAGCAAUAUGGAUUGCUGCACAGAGCGUUGAAAGCUAAGAAUCGCCAGAGGUUCCUCAUGCUAAUUCAAAUAAGAAUUUGUAUGUACAUAGAAAACAUAGAAAAUCAAACUGAAACCUGGUAUACACUAUUUGAAUAAGCGUGAUAAGUCUUUAGCGGCGACGUACGUACCUCGUCGAAGAGGAAAGAAAACCUAAUUAUCCUUAAGCGCUAAGUAAAGUUUCUUAUUUUCUCUCUUAAAACUCAUUUAACGAGAAAUAUUUCCUUUUGGCUAAAUAAUAAAGGAAACACUUAAAUACAUACUCCCAUGCAUAAAUACGGACAUACCGAAAAAAUAUGUACAUAUGUAUACCCAAUUUGCGAGAUGAAGUUGAUUCCGACCACGGUUGCCAAUUACCCCUUUUGUGUGUACCAAAAACUGUACAAGAAUGUAAAAAAAUUACAAAAAAAAAAUGUUUUAGCCAUUGAUUUAAUUAUUUAAAUAUUUUACAAAUUUAGUUAAGAGCGUGUCAGACGUGGCAAUAUUUCCAACUUGUCCACGCAAUUUGCUGUCAAAUUGAGACACUUUUCGGAAAUCUGUUUCAGAAAUUCAAAUAUCAUGGUAUGACUACAACUGAAAGAACGCAAAUCGAUUUCGGAAGUAUAUUUCAACUUGCUUGUGUUGCACUAGCAAUUUUUAUUUCUGCUACAAGUGGUGUCAAACUAAUCGAGUGUUGGAAAGUGACACUGAUCGCGAGUUUGUGAAUGAUAAUAAGCAUAAUUUUGAAAAAAAUAUCAGAAACGCUUUUAAUUAUUAAUGUUUCGGAAUUUAAUUGUUUAGAUAUGAAGCGUAAAUUAAUCUUCAAACUAAAAAUUUGAAGAGAAACAACGAACGACCGGCAAAGCGGCUCAUGGUUCGAUUUUUGUAUCGAGUAAUUCAUUCGCUGCACUAUGGCUGAAAUAAGCAUUUUCUCCGGCCAAAAAUCAAUCAAUGCAGAUAGGCGCUUAAAAUAUCGUAGACAUGCUUUUGAGAAUCUUAAAAGAUAUUGGUUUGAAAAUCAGCGAAAUCGGCCCACAACCACGCUCCCUCCCAUAUACCGCGUGUCCCAGGCCACCUGACCACCCCUUCUAAAAUGAAGGAAAAAUACGAAGUACCAAGUCGGGGAUGCUCUAUCUUUUGGUCGAAUUAUCGACUUCCGGUUUCGACCGGAUGUCCAUUCCAGAGAAACGUUUCUGAUAAAAGUUACCUAUUUUGUCCGCAUACUCCGAAUCUGUGGUAAAAGCAUGUAUGUUCCGGUUAAAAAAGUGGACUUCCGGCCCAUCCACACGUUGAAUAUUGUUUCAUCAGUAUGCCUUUCCCAUUGCUAAAAUAAUCACACUUAAAGGGCUGUUUGCAUGUCUCAAGAAAAAUCACAAGAAAUACUUUUCAUUAUUUCCGUUGGUUGAAAAAGUACUUCGCUUUUGCUGCAAAUUUUCCUGAAGAAAUACAUAAAUAUUCUAGCAUCUUUCGCUGAGAGCUGCAAACUGAUUUAAGAAGUUUUGAUAGAUGAAAAUUUCUCUUCCGUUUCUUGUGCGUUAUUUUAUAUGAAUUUUUCGUUUUUUCUUGAGGGCUGCAAACACCCCUUAAAACUUUUUAUAUACGUAAAACACAUCCGCGUUGACCCGCAGUUAUGUGUAAUGUAAAUGUCUAGUACAAACUAAAACCGAAACCAUACAAUUAAGGUUGUCAGAUAGGGGACCAGGGUAUCUUGCGGUCAUAAAUUCAUAAUAAUUAGAGUAUCUAGUAUAAAGUCCGCCUGUUAAAAAUUUUGAAAUCAAAAAUUGAAAAUUGGACCUUUGGCCACAGAAAAUGCCUAUUUCAGAAAAAUGAUCUGUAAAAGAAACAGUUUUUUUAUUAUAAACUUAGUUGAGCGAAUAAAUUCGAUCUAUAUAUUUAUGUAGGUGUAUAGAUCUAUUGUGCUGACCCUAUAAAAGUUAUCUCCAACCUUGGAGCACCUGUAAAAUUAAACGUUUUAGAGGGUGUCGUGUCUUAGAUUCUAGACGGAGACGAUAAUGGGUCCCCCAAAAUAUAACAGUCUGAGACCUAUGAUACGUGGGACAUCGCAUAAUAUAUUCCAGCCACAAAGCCAGCAGCCCAGUCAGGUAGCUGUUGGAGGCGCUCAAUCCUUCCGGACUUAGGGGGAGUUAUAAGUUUCUCGAUUGCCUUAUCCCUUCGCCAUUCCGCGGCAGCUUGAGAAUCCACCCAUUAGCCUAGUAGCUCAGCUCCGUUGUAUCCCACGUUCUGCAUGAACGUCAACUUAUUUGUUGCCAUCAAAACCCUCAUGUACCGGUACCAACCAAAGGACUACUCUUAUCCUGAUAUGCGUGCUUAAUUAAAAAAUCAAUAGAGACUUUCAGAUGUCCACAAGCCUUGAUGCUGUCUGACUGUCAGACAUGACAUUUAUCCUGUCCGCAUUUAUCUUUCUACGAGGACCUUUCGGGUUGACUUUCCUUCCUUUGGUGAAUACUUCCAGAGAUAUGCAAUAUGAAAAAUCGGUUAGUAUGGGAGGUCCCACAUUACCUUUUUCAAUAAUUCAAAUAUUUCUCCAUGAGUAUGCGAUUGAUUUCAUAUAUGGGAGGUUUCAAAAAAAUUGGCACAACCGCUCUCGAGCUUUGCGAACAGAAAAAAUAGCUUAAUAUAUAUAUAUUAGUACAGACAAAGAAAUGCUUUUUUUUCUGAUAGCGAAAGGGGCAGCAGUCGUAAGAAUUUAUAUUUGCGCGCGAAUUUUGCAUUUGUCUGUCUAGAAUCUGGAUUGCACCCAUUGUAUUCGAUUAAAUGUUCCAGUGAAAAGGUGCAAAAUAACGCGCAGCAUUUUCACCAGAUCUAUGAUCCCGGUAUGGGUAGUGAACUCAUUCUUUGGUACAAUUUAUGGAAUAAAAAGAACUUGUCUGAAGAAGUUUUGAAGGAUAAUGAAGUUGUAGAUCUAUUUAAAGAAUAAAGCGAGUUUCUACCAGCGAUAGAUACGUGUAUUUCCAUUUUGAGUGAUUUUCCAUGCACAACAGCUACAGUGGAGCGAUCAUUUAGUACAUUUCGAAGAGUAAAAAUCUGGCUCAGAAGCACAACAGCGUCCAUAGAAAACUGCGAGAUGAUUCUGGAGGAAAUAAUCCAAAAUUUUGCUGAAAAAAUUAACAAGUAUAUUUCGUUUUUCCCCCUUUUAUUAGAUCCUGGCUACGCCCUUGCCUCAGUUCUUAAUAUCUUUUCUGUUUCUGUUCCAAGACCGUUCUAAUAAUUCUUUAUGCGUACGGGAUGACCGUCUAGAAGAAACGUCAACAUUUUGUAGCUCACCAGGCCUGCUCAUGUCACGAAAUAACAGUAGUUUUCUUUCCUCUAGCCGACAUGGCUUCUUGCUAGAAGUAUGUACAUAUGCAUAGCUCAAAAUAUUUAUUUUAAACACUUUUCAAUCUUCAGUAGAAACAUUAAUACAAAAAAACAUAUGUCUUUGCAUAUCAUCAUCUUUAAUUACAAAGCAGCAUUUGACUAAUUUUAAAUUUUUAUAGAAGACGCCAUUUCUUAGUUCAUAAAAAUGCCUUCUAGGCUGCUCUAAACAAGCUAUUAAAUACCACAUGUUUUAAAGAUUUGACCUUGAAUUUCAGAAUGGGGGCAUCUCAGAAAAACAUCUUAAUAUUAAUGAUUGGCAUGUAUGUAAAGUGGGAUCACUAAAAUAUUUUCAUCUAAUAUUUUUUAUUACAUGUGUCUUUUUUAUUUAAGGCUUUUUUAUAGUGAUACCUACAUAGAAAGAUAUGUAUUUAAAUAUAUAUGCAUGUAAAAAAAUUUUGUAAAUUCUUGCAAUUAUAUACAAGUAAUAUAUUUUCUUUUUUGUAACAUAAAACUUUCACAAGGAAAGAAACAAUAAAAAUUUAAUGGAAAAAACAAAAUCAAAGUACCUUAUAAUAGAAUGAGCUGUAAAAACGAUACCUGCUUGAAACUAUAAAACGAAAUAAAAACCAGAAAUAAACAAAUAAAUAAAUUUUACAAGAAUACAAUUUGUAAUAGUAAUUUUUUGCCAUUAAAAACUUUGAUUUAAUUUUGCCAAAAAGAAGAAAAAUGCAAAGGUUAGAAGAAUUUGUUAAUUUGAAUGUUAAAAGAUCAUGUACACACAUGCAUACAUACACACAGAUGUACUACAUAUGAAAAUACACCCAAUAAACAUUUAGGUUGGAGGCCAAUGGGAUACCCAAUAUUCCAAUGUUGAUUUUAAAUUGGAGAACGAAACCAUUCUCAAAAAAAGGGACGUUUUUGGUAAUGCAAAAUAAUCUCAGUUCCCCACUUGAGAAAAGCUUGGAUAUCAAUUCAAAUGAAUUCAAGCUUUAUUCAACUUUUAAUUAAACCUUAAAAAAAAAUCUGGGAUAGAAAGGUUGUACAUCCACGGUAGAAUCAAGAUUUUGUCAAAUAUUGGAAAAAAGUUUGCUUUGUGCACAUUGGGCAAUCAUAAGAGUGAAUAACACAAGCCAACACAAUCAAUUAGCAUUGCAUUCUUAGAUUUUGAGUUUGGCGCGUCAAAAACAAAGCAGUAAAACUAUUACAUAACCAUGCUUAACAUAUCAUAUAAAGCUUGUAAAACUUAGAAAGAUGCCGAAAGUAGCUUCGCGUGCGACUUGAAUUAAGUUACCCUAUAUGCCGUAUUUUUUUUUAAAUUCAUGGCUUUUAAAUACGUUAAAAAAUAAGCUAUACAACCAAAUGCCCCCAAUAGAAAUAACUACGUAGAUAUUUUUGGAAUUGUUAGCUAAUUGCACACUAUUCAAUAAAACAUUUACAUUAGUAAAGUAAUAAGUAUGUAGUUUCAGAAUUCAUACAAAUACCUUUUCAUAAAAACAGCGAUCGGAAGUAACACAAAGAGGUUCUCAGAUAAACCACGUUGCACUAGGGAUCUUCACACCGACUUUGGACUUUGCAAAUUUACCUUUCAUUGAAAAUAAACGAUAAAAAGUGAAACAACUACCUUAA
This 18039-nucleotide unclassified non-coding RNA is filed under the name Rhagoletis pomonella (apple maggot). RNAcentral describes it as "regulating synaptic membrane exocytosis protein 1, transcript variant X4". The record is from RNAcentral. Lineage: Eukaryota; Metazoa; Arthropoda; Insecta; Diptera; Tephritidae.